GACGAACGCUGGCGGCGUGCUUAACACAUGCAAGUCGAGCGGUAAGGCCCUUUCGGGGGUACACGAGCGGCGAACGGGUGAGUAACACGUGGGUGACCUGCCCUCAGCUCUGGGAUAAGCCUGGGAAACCGGGUCUAAUACCGGAUAUGACUCCAUGACGCAUGUUGUGGGGUGGAAAGCCUUGUGCGGCUGAGGAUGGGCCCGCGGCCUAUCAGCUUGUUGGUGGGGUGANGGCCUACCAAGGCGACGACGGGUAGCCGGCCUGAGAGGGCGACCGGCCACACUGGGACUGAGACACGGCCCAGACUCCGUACGGGAGGCAGCAGGUGGGGAAUCUUGCGCAAGUGGGACGAAAGCCUGACGCAGCGACGCCGCGUGAGGGAUGAC
This 387-nucleotide ribosomal RNA is filed under the name uncultured bacterium. Its description in RNAcentral is "bacterial SSU rRNA". It matches the Rfam family "Bacterial small subunit ribosomal RNA", at positions 28 to 412 of the family's 1533-position model. The record is from RNAcentral.